RNAcentral lists this ribosomal RNA (253 nucleotides) under uncultured bacterium. RNAcentral's name for it is "partial 16S ribosomal RNA". It matches the Rfam family "Bacterial small subunit ribosomal RNA", at positions 524 to 776 of the family's 1533-position model. The record is from RNAcentral.
GACAGAGGGGGCAAGCGUUGCUCGGAAUCACUGGGCGUAAAGGGCGCGUAGGCGGGUCGCCAAGUCGGUCGUGAAAUCUCCGGGCUCAACCCGGAGGAGUCGGCCGAAACUGGUGUUCUUGAGGGAGGCAGAGGAGUCUGGAAUUCCCGGUGUAGCGGUGAAAUGUGUAGAGAUCGGGAGGAACACCGGUGGCGAAGGCGGGACUCUGGGCCUACCCUGACGCUGAGGCGCGAAGGCGUGGGGAGCAAACGGG